CAAAUUUCUUAACUACUGUCAUUUGAAUCAAAGGCUACAUCAUGGGAAAGUCCGAAUAUUGAAAAUAAAUAUUGUUCUACUCAGUAUCAAACAUGCCUUAUGGUUGGACUUUGUGAUCAGCUACGAGAAAAAGUCAUCAUCCCCAAGAGAAAAGUUUACAAUGACUGAGAAUUAACAGAAAGCAGUUACUACAGGGAUCUGCAUCUUUGUUGAUUCUUCAACCUAAUCUCCAACUGGGGGGAUCACCCUCCAUCUAAGUAGAGACAGGUGCUCUGAGUUCCAACAAAAUUUACCCUCAUUAGAAUUUUGGAUAGCACAAGACAUUUUACAAGGCAUGUACAAGAAUUCCCAAAAUUGUUAUGAUGCCUGGGAAAGGAUAGUAGGNNUUCUGUUGCUGGUACAUUUGAUGUUGUAUUGGCAAUUGAUUCCUUCGGCUCAGCCUCUGUUGCAGAAAUCAAAGAUGCAGAUUGAAUCUUGCCAGCAUGCUCCAGGCGCAUCAGAAUAACCCCCCUUGCAAAGCGGGACUGUAUUGAAAUAUCCCGAACUUUAAUUCUAUUUACAGUACCACUCUGGCUUACUAGAACCAAUUGUUCAUCACUUUCGCCAUCUUCUGCCAAUGAAAAUCCAACAACAAAGACUGCUGCCAAGCGGUCCUCUGCAGAAAACUUACAACCAAUUAAACCAACUCUAUUUAAAGGUGAUAGUCGAAAACUACCAAGUGGAACCCGCUUUCCAUAACCACUCUCAGACACGAAUAACAACCAGGGACCACUGCCUUUGUUGUGGCUCCUAGGAUCUUCGAACACCCUCUCCAAGUCUCUUCGCAUGGCAGCUGGUAUUAUGUCCAUGCUUGCCAUCUUAUCUCCUUUCCUUAGUCUCAUGGCCACUCCACCUCGGGUAUUUCGGCUUAGUGAUCGAAUAUUGUCACAGGAACUUAGCAUGACCAUUCCAUUUUGCGAAGCCAUAGCAACAAUAUCAUCAUUUGUACAACAGCGAACCCAUUUUAGUUCAUCACCAGGAACCAAUUGAAUUGCUAUUAUUCCUGUGGAACGUAUGGCUGAAAAAACAUUCAGAGACACUUUCUUGAUGUAACCAUUGACUGUGAGCAUUAAUAGAAACUGAUCUCCAGCAAAAUCACUCACAGGAAUAAUGGAAGUUAUUCU
RNAcentral lists this unclassified non-coding RNA (1163 nucleotides) under Hevea brasiliensis (rubber tree). Lineage: Eukaryota; Viridiplantae; Streptophyta; Magnoliopsida; Malpighiales; Euphorbiaceae. The record is from RNAcentral.